Molecule: ribosomal RNA, 333 nt
Filed under: uncultured bacterium
Lineage: Bacteria
Description: bacterial SSU rRNA
Rfam family: Bacterial small subunit ribosomal RNA
Source: RNAcentral
CGUGUAGGCGGUGGCGCAAGUCGGGUGUGAAAGCCCCUGGCUUAACCAGGGAGGGUCAUCCGAAACUGCGUCGCUUGAGGGCAGCAGAGGAAAGUAGAAUUCCCGGUGUAGUGGUGAAAUGCGUAGAUAUCGGGAGGAAUACCGGUGGCGAAGGCGGCUUUCUGGGCUGCACCUGACGCUGAGGCGCGAAAGCGUGGGGGAGCGAACUGAAUUAGAUACUCAGGUAGUCCACGCUGUAAACGAUGGACACUAGGUGUGGGGGGUAUCGACCCCCUCCGUGCCGAAGCUAACGCAUUAAGUGUCCCGCCUGGGGACUACGGCCGCAAGGCUAAA